This 744-nucleotide ribosomal RNA is filed under the name uncultured bacterium. Its description in RNAcentral is "bacterial SSU rRNA". It matches the Rfam family "Bacterial small subunit ribosomal RNA", at positions 8 to 796 of the family's 1533-position model. The record is from RNAcentral.
AGAGUUUGAUCAUGGCUCAGAGCGAACGCUGGCGGCAGGCUUAACACAUGCAAGUCGAGCGGGCGUAGCAAUACGUCAGCGGCAGACGGGUGAGUAACGCGUGGGAACGUACCUUUUGGUUCGGAACAACCCAGGGAAACUUGGGCUAAUACCGGAUAAGCCCUUACGGGGAAAGAUUUAUCGCCGAAAGAUCGGCCCGCGUCUGAUUAGCUAGUUGGUGGGGUAAUGGCCCACCAAGGCGACGAUCAGUAGCUGGUCUGAGAGGAUGAUCAGCCACAUUGGGACUGAGACACGGCCCAAACUCCUACGGGAGGCAGCAGUGGGGAAUAUUGGACAAUGGGCGCAAGCCUGAUCCAGCCAUGCCGCGUGAGUGAUGAAGGCCCUAGGGUUGUAAAGCUCUUUUGUGCGGGAAGAUAAUGACGGUACCGCAAGAAUAAGCCCCGGCUAACUUCGUGCCAGCAGCCGCGGUAAUACGAAGGGGGCUAGCGUUGCUCGGAAUCACUGGGCGUAAAGGGUGCGUAGGCGGGUCUUUAAGUCAGGGGUGAAAUCCUGGAGCUCAACUCCAGAACUGCCUUUGAUACUGAAGAUCUUGAGUUCGGGAGAGAUGAGUGGAACUGCGAGUGUAGAGGUGAAAUUCGUAGAUAUUCGCAAGAACACCAGUGGCGAAGGCGGCUCACUGGCCCGAUACUGACGCUGAGGCACGAAAGCGUGGGGAGCAAACAGGAUUAGAUACCCUAGUAGUCC